ACGUGGAGACUUCUGUCAGACGCAUGUUUGAUUCCAUGUGGUCUCUCUGGUUCUUUGUUGUACGAGCCUUGUAGAGUAGCUUUCCCUCCGGUUGAGUCCAAUUUCUCUAAGGAAGCCCUUGUUUUUUCCUGUGCGACGUUCUCCUCUGGCCGUUUCGUUCUGGAGAGUUGUGUGGCCCUCGCCGGUGUAACCGUCUUCCGUGCGAUCAAGGUCGUUCUAGGUGGUGUGAUUGUUGGGCAUGCGUGUUAUGAUCGGGAUUGCUUUUAUUUGCAUUUGCAUUUGCAUUUUGUUUGGUGAGUAGUCAUUAAUUGUUUAGUUUUUUGCUUUCUUUUUAUAAUAUAGUAUCAUUGACAUAGAACAAAGUAGAAAGAGUAGAAUGUUGUGAAGAGAAUUUGAAAUAUGGUAUGGAGAUAAUGGUUUACAUAUUUUAUCCAGAAAAUUGGUUAUAAUGAUUUUUACUUAUUUCUGUUCAUGUUCAUGAGUUGUUGGACCAAAGCUUUGUGCAUUGAUGCCUGGACACAGAAAAAUUAGCGAGGCUGAUUUAAUUGAAAUUGAGAAUUACAUAACAAUUGGCAUUAGGCCUCCUCAAAUAUAUGUUGCUUUUGCAAACACUUCCGGUGGCUACGAGAAUGUACGAUUUGUGAGAAAAGACCUAUGUAAUCAAGUUCACAGAAUCUGCCGUGGGUACAAGUUAGAUGUUGAAGGUGCAUUUAAAUUCUUCAAGGAGUUGUAUGUAACUGAUCUGAUGUUGUAUGUUUCGUACAGGUUGAUGAUGAUAACAAACUCCAACAUCUAUUUUAGUAUGACAUCGAGAGCCAAAUGAAAUAUCAGGUACUCGGUGAUGUGCUAGUAUUUGAUGCUACAUAUAAGAACAAGUAUCUUUGUCCACUUGUGGUGUUAUCUAGAGUUAAUCAUCAUAAUCAAACACUAGUAAUAAAUGAAUCUGAAGAAAUUUAUGUGUGGUUGAUGGAGCAAUUCUCGGAUGCAAUGAAGGGGAGAGCUGCAUGUUCGGAGAUCACAUAUGGUGAUCUUGCAAUGAGGAAUGCUACCGAUGUGUCUUUCCAAAUGUACAUCACCGGCUGUGAGCAUGCCAUUUGUUGCGAAAUGCACAAAGCAAUUUGAACAACAAUGACAUUCUGCCAUAUUUGAAAAGAGUAAUGUUAUGUUAUCUUGAAGUUAGUGAUUUUGAACUAAAUGGAAUGACAUGGUUAGAACAUUUGGGUUGCAGGAGAAUAAUUGGGUGGCAGAAUUAUAUAAGAAAAGGAACAUGUGGUCUCCAGCUCACAACCAUGGAAAUUUCUUUGCAGGUAUUUGGACUACAUCAAUGUGAAGCCUUUCAUUCACCUUGGGAAAUAUGUUGAUUAUAGGAGUACUUUGACUAAUUUUGUGCAGCAAUUUCAAAGGUUUUUAACUUAUUUCGCUUCCACGAGGUUGAAGUUGAUUAUGACUCUAAAGUUGGGAGUUUGGGUUUAGAGAUUGAUUUUCAUGCAAUUAAGAGGUCUGGUGCUGAGGUCAUCACUAAGGAGUUGUUUAUGGCAUUUCAAAGUAAUCUUAAGACAAUGAUGUUAAGGGUUGAUGAAUGUCAAGAAAUGGGUAUGUCAUGUGUUUAUACAGUUGAGGUAUCGCUCGUUCGCUAUGUGGCAUGUUUCAUACUGCCCUUCAAGUGGAUUUAAAUGUUCUUGCCAAUGAAUGCAAUCAAUUGGUAUACCAUGUGGCCGCAUUUUAGGGGUACUUAUAUUCUUAGAUUUCAAUGACUUACUGAUACGGAACCAGACUCAACAGCCACAAAGACAAAAAGGGAGGUGCAAAUAGAGGACAAACCCAAAAGGAAGCUCACAAAACCAGCAUACCUCAGUGACUACGUAUGAAGAAACGGACAAAAGCUCAUGAUCCUUGCUAUCCUUAGUGUUGUCUGCUAUCAGGGGACAACCUAACAAAUUCCGUUAGUGUAAUAUUCCUUGGGAAUCAAUUAGUACAAUUCUAUUACUAGGAAGCACUAUAAAUAAACAAUGUAAUAAGCAAGCAAGCAAUGAAAAAUCUCGAUACUUAUUUUUUCCUUCCUUAUCGGCUUCUCCUUCUUCCUCUAUUCUGGAGGUGCUGGCCUAUUAAAUCAGCUUUAGAAUUUGAGCCUAUCAUUUGGUGCUCUCGUUGCUGUUCUCAUGGCUGAUUCUGGCAAUACCAAUAAGCACCUUGACCCGACCCCUGACCCGUCCAUUGAACCUGAUCCACCCCUGGCCCAACUCAGCCUCAAUUCCUUAGCGCUGACCAUUUGGCACCUGAGACCAUCAGAGUGGUGGGUACGAUUUCCAGCCAGGCAGUGCUCCUCCUAGUGGACGGUGGGAGCACCCACAAUUUCAUCCAGCAGCACCUCGUCACCCAACUCGGACUCCCUUUUCGCACCACUACUCCUCUUUCGGUUAUGGUGGGUAAUGGCCAACAAUUGGAGUGUUGUUGGCUUUGUGAGGCGGUCACCAUCGACCUCCAGACAGCCUCCUUCACAGUGGACCUCUAUGUCUUGCCCAUCGUCGGUGCCAAUGUCAUUUUGGGCGUUCAAUGGUUGCAAUCACUAGGUCCCGUUCUCACCAAUUAUAACCUUAACCAUGCAAUUCUUUCACCAAGGUAGCCUGGUCGAAUUGCGAGGAGAUAAGGACGCUAAAAUGGGGAUGAUGACUCCACCUCAGCUUCGACGCUUGUGCCGUAAACUCGGCAAUGCCACGUGCUUCCACGUCACCGUGGUUCCUAAGGACACAUCACCUACACCUACUACUGAUUUCUCCCCUGAGUUACGAGCUCUACUCACUAAGUUUAGCUCUCUAUUUCAGAAUCCACAAUCCUUGCCGCUGGCACGAGACAUCGACCACAACAUACACCUCCUUCCGUAGUCAACGUGCGUCCACACAGGUACCCCCAUUACUAGAAGCAUGAAAUUGAACUACAGGUGGACUCCAAGCUCCAAAAAGGGCUGAUACAACCCAACACCAACCCGUUCUCUUCACUGGUGCUGUUGGUGAAGAAACACGACGGCUCAUGGAGGUUUUGUGUAGAUUACCGAGCCCUGAAUGCCCUCAUCGUUAAGAAUCAAUUCUCGAUUCCCACAAUUGACGAGCUCUUGGAUGAACUCGAUGAUGCGCGUUGCUUCUCAAAGCUAGAUCUGUUACAAGGCUACCACCAGAUUCGCAUGCAUGCGGCGGACACUCCCAAAACAGCUUUCAGAACACACCAUGGCCAUUACGAAUUCAAAGUAAUGCCAUUUGGGUUGUGUAAUGCGUCGUCAUCGUUCCAAGCAACAAUGAAUAUGAUCUUCUGACCGUACCUUCGACAAUUCAUCAUCGUCUUUUUCAAUGACAUUCUCAUCUAUAACGGCUCUCCUGAGGAUCAUCUUCACCAUCUAGCAACGACAUUUCAGAUGCUACUUGAUAACCAAUUCGUUUUAAAAUUCUCUAAAUGUUUAUUUGCUCAAUCCCAGGUUGAAUACCUCGGUCACCUGGUCUCGCAUAAAGGGGUUGAACUAGUUGCUUCCAAAAUUGUUGCGAUUCAACAAUGACCCACUUCAUGUUCCAUUAAAGCCCUUCGAAGUUUUCUGGGCCUCGCUGGGUUCUAUCGCCGCUUUAUCUGUGGUUAUGCCACCAUUGCCACACCCAUGGUCAAGGCUACCACCAUAGAGCCCUUCCAGUGGUCACCUUAUGCCCAAGUAGCUUUCGAUACACUGAAGCAAGCUUUAUCCACGGUGUCAGUCUUAACCUUACCAGACUUCAAGCUCCCAUUCACCGUUGAGACGAAUGCAUCAGGUAUUGGCAUGGGUGUCGUCCUUUCACAGUAGGGACACCCCAUAGUCUUCUUCAGUAAGCCCUUUAGCCCGAAACUCAUGCUUGCCUCAACCUAUGUGCGCAAGCUAGUCGCGAUCACCUUGGCGGUGAAGAAAUGACAACAUUACCUUUUGGGCACCACUUCACCAUUGUUACAGAUCAUCACAGCCUUAAGGAGUUGUUGAACCAAGUGAUUCAAACCCCGGAGCAACACAUGUAUUUAGCUCACUUGAUGGGGUAUGACUAUGAUAUUCAGUACCGCUCCGACAGCCACAACCAGGCGGCGGAUGCCCUGUCGCGCUUACCAGAGCAUGACUCCCCCAUGUUAAUGGUCCUCUCUGUCCCAUGUCUAACAUUCAUGAAAGAACUUUGCCAUCAACUGGACAAUCAUUCCGCUUACCAACACUACCUUCAAGAGGUGCUCACUUGUCCAACCAAACACCCUGGGCCUGAGGUCUCACAGGGCCUGAUUCUCAGUAAAGGUCGCAUAUGGUUACCUCGCAGCUUGCCAAUAGCUUCUACUUUACUUACGGAGCAUCACGCGACACCCACAGGGCGACACAUCGGGGUUACUAAGACCUUGGCAAGAAUCAUGAAAAAUUUCGUCUGGCCAGGGCUUCGAGAAGACGUUGCACAAUUUGUGGCCAACUGUGUCAAGUGCCAGGUAACCAAGUAUGAAGCUAAGAAGAUGGUGGGCCUGUUAUGUCCUCUUCCCGUGCCCCACAGACCUUGGGAGGAUCUCUCCUUAGAUUUUAUUGUGGGCUUACCCUCAUAUCAAGGCAACAUUGUGUUACUGGUGGUUGUUGACCGGUUUUCCAAAGGCAUCCACCUGGGAAUGCUACCUUCGAAUUAUUCUGCUCUCAUGAUGGCAUCUCUGUUCUUGGACAUUGUUGUGAAGCUCCAUGGGCUUCCUCGGAGCUUGGUCUCCGACCGUGAUCCCUUAUUUGUCAGUCGCUUCUGGCAAGAGCUUUUUUGGGCAAGCGGCACACAACUCAGAAUGAUUUCACCAUAUCACCCUCAGAGUGAUGGCCAGACUAAGGUACUGAAUCAAAUCAUUGAACAAUAUCUUUGAGCUUUUUUUCAUCGCCGGCCACGCGCAUGGAACAAGCUUCUCUCUUGGGUUGAAUUAUCGCAUAACGCAUCUUGGAUUAGGGGCACAGGCUCGACUCCUUAUGAAAUCACUUUUGGCUGCAAGCCCUUCAAUUUUCCAGAGUAUGUUGCCGGAACUUCUAAGGUUGACGUCGUGGAAGAAAUAUUAACAGAAAGGGAGGAGAUUUUCCAGAGCAUUCGUAAGAAACUCCUGAAGGCUUAAGAAACCAUGAAGCGGCAAGCAAACAAGAAACGUUGGGACGUGCACUACCAGGAAGAUGAUUGGGUUCUGGUGAAGCUCCGGCCCCAUCGACAAACUUCGACAAAAGGGGCUCAAACAGUUGCAGGAAAAUUGGCUAUAAAAGGUAUUAUGGUCCGUUCCAGGUCCAGGAACAAGUAGGACCGGUAGCUUAUCGAUUACGUUUACUGGAACAGCUCGGAUUCACCUUGUAUUUCAUUGUUCCCUGCUCAAACCGUUUCAUGGCUCCCCGGAGAACACAGAUGUUGCAGAAUUACCAACUCAAUUUGCUAAUCACCAACCCCUUAUUUCUCCACUUGCAAUACUGGACUAUUGUCGAGCUUCACCAAGUGCACCUUGGGAGGUACUUGUGCAGUGGAAGGGGUUAUCUCCAGAUGAAACAUCCUGGGAAGAUUGGUCCCAGUUGUGCAAUGACUUUCACCUUGAGGACAACGUGAGUUUGCAAGGCCCGAGGGAUGACACAGAACAGACUCAACAUCCACAAAGACAAAAAGGGAGGUGCAAAUAUAGGACAAGCCCAAAAGGAAGCUCACAAAACCAGCAUACCUCAGUGGCUACAUAUGAAGAAACAGACAAAAGCUCAGGAUCCUUGCUUGCCUUAGUGUUGUCUGUAACAUCCCAAUUUUUCGUAAAUAAAUUUAAAAAGUUUUUUAGUAAGAAUAAAUAAAUAAAUAAAUAAAUAAAUAUAGAGCAAAUAAUAGGCUGAGUACCCUAGGUAUAAAUAGUUAUAUUAAGUCAGCUGCCUCCUUUUGACCUCAUUUUCGUUUUUCCUCUUCUCCUCUCAAAACCCUUUCUUUUUCCCGCAGCCCACCAAACCUGUCUCAGUAAAAUGACGAUCUCAAACUCGUUCACCGUUGGAUCGUCGUGAAAUUUGAGUAUCAUGUUUGCAACCCAAUUCCGAACAUUCUCACCGUUGGGAAUUUCAAAAUUUUAACUGAGCUUAGAGAAAAGCCCUUCGCAUUGUAGCAUUUUAAUUUCCCACAGAAACCCAAAACUGUCUCGGUAAAACUACGAUCCCGGUUUCGUUAGCCGUUGGAUUUUCAUGAAAUUUGGUUUCGUUGUUCGAAAUUCAAUUCCGCACGCUUCCACCGUUGGGAUUCGCGACACAAUAUUCGUGGAGGAAAAAAAAAGGAAUCGCAUGAAGACAGUACAAGUGGAAGUUUCAAUCUCUUCUCCGUCUCUCUGACGUUUGGGAAUUCUAUCGGAGCAGUCAGAUGAAUAAUUGAAAGAAUUUCAGGGAACCGCUAGAGAUGUUGCUAUCGCUGGCUGAAGACACGUGAGUCCGCUCAGAGGUAAGGGAUGCGUUAUUCACAAUUGGGGAUUAGUGAGAACAUGUGUAGGGAUCCUUAGAGGAUUAAAUUGGGGUUUUAUUUUGGGAUGUUUGUUAAAUUACAAUUUUUUCCUUUAUGAUUAUAAAUAAAAUAUUGAUGUCCUAAUGAAGAUUGCUUGAUAAAUUGUGCUCUUGAUAUUUGUAUGUUUCGACCUAUGAUUUUGAUAUAAUUGUGUAAUAUUAUUUGAGGGGUUUUAGUCCUCAUGUUGUGAUGGUCUUAUAUAUAAAUUGUUAUAUUGAGGAUAUGAAAUGAUGAUUCAAAUUGUGAGUAUGUGAUGAAUUGUAGAAUAACAUGUUGCUUUGAGAUUAUAAUAUUGUUAUUGAGAUUGAGUAUAAGUGUAAAGUUGAACAUGUGUUAAUUUGUGAGAUACGUGUAAACAUGUGAUGGUGGAUUGUCACACUAUGAGAUGUGAAAUUGUGAAUGAGUUCUAGUUGUGGAUAAGUGUGUAGUUAACACUUGAUGUCAAAUUACUUGUGUUGUAAGCUAUGAAUUGUACAAUAACCUGACCAGUGUUAUCUUGAGAAAAGCGUUGAUGCGCAGUGUUAAAGAGAAAAUGUAGGUUUCCUACUUAGGAACCAGUGUUAAAUCGUAGCGCAAUUGUGUUGAACGUGUUUAAAACACGAGUGUAAGGUCAUGGGUGUUGUAUAAUUCAUGAGCAGUGUCUGCAUGCAAAAAUUAUUUUAGGGGUUGGACCUGAAUCAGGAGGGAGAGGCCCUGACGGACUCUUCGGAGUGUAGGCCUUGGGGGUCACCGGGUUUGAGUGCUCCUUUAAGCCUAUGCUGAUCUCAUAUGGUUGGAGCAUUCUCGCAAAACAUCGUGACCCUGACUGGUCUCCCUAUGAUCUUACUUAGUGAGAGUGACCUGACAAACCCAUGGUGUGGUGUGUCUUGUUAUGUACUCUUAAGCGCCCAGGGUGGUUUUUCACUGACAUGGUACCACAUUGCAUAUAGGAUUAAGUCUUAGCAUAACUAUUGCAUAUGCUUAUUAAUUGAUGUGUUAUUAUAUCUUGAUCGAAGUGUGGGAUUCUUGUGUAAUGUGAUUGAUAAUUGAAAAGUGAAUUUUGAAUGACGAAGUGGUGAAGUUACGUGAGCUAUGUUUAAGCAAGUGGUAUCUCAUUUAUAUAAUAUGUAUAUUUAAUUGUCUUGUUUCUCUAUUAGCUAGGAAUGUGAUAACUCACUCCCUGUGUGUUGUUGUGUUUGGAUCCUGUGAUGAUCUUGAACUUGUGUUCGGGGGAGCAGAUGAAUAGGUGGAUGACUAUGAAGAACCUCAUGCUAGAGGACACGAAAACACAACGCUCUAACAGGAUGUGACAUUAGGAUAUAGGUUCUAUAUUAAUUGUAUGAAGCUUAGACGACCUUGUUGAGUCGAGAAUACUUUAUUAUUUAUUUGGACAAGUUUAAAUAUGAUGUAGAAGAAAAUGAAUGUGAGCCUUUUUCCCCUUUGAAAGACUUGUUUAAAAAAAAUGUUUUAAAAAUACUUUUAAUUAAUAUUUGAAUUUUUUUUAUUCCUUAUUAGUAUGUAUGUGAGGGGUAGAGGGUGUCACAUUUAGUGGUAUCAGAGCAGGUCGAACCUUUCGGCCAGUGUGUUAUGUGCUUACCAUAUUCUGGUGUGCACUCUGUGUGGUUACUUAUGAGUACUUUUGUUGAGCAUGCUUGAAUUUUUAUUUGUAUUUUCUCCUACAUGAUUAAAUAAGACUUAAUAAUAAUGCUUGUAUGUGCCUUGCAUCCUUAAUGUCUGCUAUACCAUAAAUCCACUUUUGAGUCAUGAGUUAUGAGACUGGCCAUCUCUAUAAUUUGCGAAGUGCAGUUGGACAUUAUGGCAAGCCAUUGGGUGAUGCAAGUAGUCUUGAUAUUGAUUGAUAAUGUGUUAACGAACCUCUAUCAUCCUGUGUGUAUGUUGUUAGUUAGCUUAUUUCUCCUUUGAUGCGUGGAUUAGUGUUGCAAGAACCUUUUGGACCAUAUAUAUAUCUUGGAUGAGUGUGUCUUUCUUGAUGUGUAAACGCAUGACUACUUAACUCCCUUAUUUUGUGUGUAGUCGUGAAUGUAGUUAUUGAAGCUUGUGAUUCCUCAAUACAUCCUUAUUAAUUGUUUAAUUCUUACUUCUUAAAUGUACGUUAUAUACUUGUUAUAGGAACCCUAUAAUUCUAAGUAUAUAUAGUUGUAGUAUGGUGUUCUGCCUUAAUUGCAUAGAUAGUAUGGUUGUUUGUGAUUUCUUGUUCUUAGUGAUGCUAAUACUUUAUAGUUGGAUGACUCAUAUCAAGUUAUAUUUCAUAAGGAAUACUCUUUUGAUCGUACCUUCUAAUUCUAGUGCAACCUAUUUUUUUGUGUUGCGUGCUUAAGUCAAAUAAAUUGAUUUCACUUGAAAGCCUGAGUAUAAUUAAUUCUUUGUGUUAUGAGACUACAUCAAACAAUUGGAUUACUGAUGUUUCUAUCACAAUCAAGUGAUUGUUAAUGUCUUCAUAUGGGUGUACAUUGUGGUCAUGUUUUUGUUUCUAGAAUUCAUUGAAAUAUUGUUGUUGAUUCUGAAUGAGUGAUCAUUUUUUUUUAUUCAAAAUUAUUAUCUCUUAAUCAAUCGAUAGUUCAUCUUAUUAUUAGUUGCUCAUCUUCCAAUCAUAUCUAGUUAAACUGCUUGAUAAUCUUUCUUGUUGUUACUUCUAUUACGAAUAAAGAGAGACUUCAUCCUUGACAAUCACGUUAAGAUGUUUUGAGAGGAAACACUUGAGUAUGCAUUAUCCUUGUUACCCAUAGACGAAAGUCAAACUUAGUAAGUCAUGUAUUUGUGUUCCUUGAGGAUAUGCUUAGUUACCACCUAAGUGCAAGAUUGAGAAUCUUAUAAGUGUAGUACCCAUAGAAACUUGUAAUCGUAGUUCGUGAGAAAUAUCUAGUAUAGAGUUGUUUGAGAACAUAGGGUAGUUGGAAAAGUUAUGAAGUAUGGCUAAGAGGUUUAAUGUGGAACCUUAAGAAGAGUGUAAGGUAGUUAGUAAGACAUUAAUUGUUAAGCAUAGAAGGAUUCAAGAGUGAGUGUUCUUGCGUAAGGUAGGUGACCUAAAAGAUUAUUGAUGAUAGUUGUAUGAUUAGCGAGAUAAAUAUUAGUUCUUUUUACCUUAAUAUGGAAAAAGUUUGUGGAUGCUUUAAGAAAUACCUUAGUACCUAUUGUGACCUCUAUGUGUACCUGGUCAUGUCAUAAUAUGAUUGAUGUACAUGUGUGUUCGUGGAAUGCGGGACAGGAUCUCCCACCCUGAGUUAGCUCUUGUUGUGGUUUUGAUGAUUAGUGUUUAGUAUGUUUCCAGUUAAGUUGAAUUAUGAUGUGUAUUAUAAGGUUGUUAUAGAUCCUUGGGACUCAUGUUUCGUGCUAAGAGUUUUGUUAUGCAUUUUAAUUAGAUGAUGUUGACCCUUAGAGUAUGUUAUUUCUAGGUGAGAGAUAACUUUAAAUCCUUCUUGGGCAGAAGUUGUUUUGAAAUGAAUGAAACCUAAGAUUAAGAUAAAAUUCUCUUAACCAGUAGUCGAACCAAAAGUUAUUUUAGUAUUCCUUGAAUUAACCUUAAUUCUAGUUGGAGAUGACUCAAGUAAGUUUAAGUUUUCGGAUGAGAUCGUUGUAAGGAGUAAGUCAUAAGUUCAUAGAAAAGUCGGUCACUGUAAACCGUUGAGUGAUAUCUUGGCCGCGCAGAUCCUUAUUGGAGUAGUAAAAUAAUUGAAACAAUUUUUUUAAGUUUAAAGGAGUGCUUGUAGAAGGACAAAUAGUGAUCAAUGUUUCUUGACAACUUAAGACUUAUGAAAAGAUUUAUCCUAUAUGUGAUUUAGAAUAGGUAACCAUGGUGUUCACCAUAAUAUUUUGGGAGACAUUACCGUUAGUUUGAUACAUUGUGAGGAUCUUUGGAGUUGAAUCUGGAAUAAAAGAGAUGGAUAAAAUUCUCAAGAAUCUUGUUGUGAGUUUAGUUUUAAACGUUAAAACUAGCUUAGUAGUUAGAGCUUGAAUAGGAAACCGAUGAUAUGACUAGUGUCCUAGUUAUAGAGUUAGAUAUUGUAAACAACAAUCGGAACCUCAAGUUUAAGUGCAAAGCUAUAAGGUGACAUGAGUAUAUAUGUGUGAAGAUUACCUUAAGGUGAACAAACUUACAGAAGUAGGGAGUAAUCUGUAUUGCUUAUCUAAUUAGCACCCAGUUAGUAUCAAGUAGGCAACCUUAGAGUUGAAUCGUUACAAUUCUUGGACCUAAGUGAGAGUUAUGAGUCAAGUAUACGAAAGUGAGAAAUAUCAUGUUGAAGGAAGAGGCUUAGACUCAAGGGUAGGCAAAUCAUGUAUUCUCGAUAGUCAUUGUGAACUAGGAUUGGUAGAGCGUGAAAGUCUCGACACUUUUCUUCUUCCUUCUAUUCUUGAACCGUCCCAUGUUAAAAAAAAAAAAGGGGCGACCAUGUGUUUAGUCGCGUUUUCUUGUGUAUAUUUGUUCGUUUCUAAUUGUUAUUCAUGUUUCUUAUGAUAUUACCCUAAUCCGAAUAGUAUGUCUUUCACAUUCUAUUAUAGUUGAGAUGUCACUCUCGUGAGAAGACUUACUUAUGAAAUACUAUCAUUGAGUAAACGAGGAUCACCGGAUUUAGUAGUUAAGUGCAGAGGAGUCUUGUGAUCGGAGUAACGGAAAAAGAGUUUCAACUAGACAUACAACUUGAUAUUGAGAAUCAUAUGCGUGAUAUCUUUUUCUCGAUCUUUCGACAAGUUUCGGGGACGAAACUUCUUUUAAGAGGGGUGGAAUUGUAACAUCCCAAUUUUUCGUAAAUAAAUUUAAAAAGUUUUUUAGUAAGAAUAAAUAAAUAAAUAUAUAGCAAAUAAUAGGCUGAGUACCCUAGGUAUAAAUAGUUAUAUUAAGUCAGCUGCCUCCUUUUGACCUCAUUUUCGUUUUUCCUCUUCUCCUCUCAAAACCCUUUCUUUUUCCCGCAGCCCACCAAACCUGUCUCAGUAAAAUGACGAUCUCAAACUCGUUCACCGUUGGAUCGUCGUGAAAUUUGAGUAUCAUGUUUGCAACCCAAUUCCGAACAUUCUCACCGUUGGGAAUUUCAAAAUCUUAACUGAGCUUAGAGAAAAGCCCUUCGCAUUGUAGCAUUUUAAUUUCCCGCAGAAACCCAAAACUGUCUCGGUAAAACUACGAUCCCGGUUUCGUUAGCCGUUGGAUUUUCAUGAAAUUUGGUUAUGUUGUUCGAAAUUCAAUUCCGCACGCUUCCACCGUUGGGAUUCGCGACACAAUAUUCGUGGAGGAAAAAAAAAGGAAUCGCAUGAAGACAGUACAAGUGGAAGUUUCAAUCUCUUCUCCGUCUCUCUGACGUUUGGGAAUUCUAUCGGAGCAGUCAGAUGAAUAAUUGAAAGAAUUUCAGGGAACCGCUAGAGAUGUUGCUAUCGCUGGCUGAAGACACGUGAGUCCGCUCAGAGGUAAGGGAUGCGUUAUUCACAAUUGGGGAUUAGUGAGAACAUGUGUGUAGGGAUCCUUAGAGGAUUAAAUUGGGGUUUUAUUUUGGGAUGUUUGUUAAAUUACAAUUUUUUCCUUUAUGAUUAUAAAUAAAAUAUUGAUGUCCUAAUGAAGAUUGCUUGAUAAAUUGUGCUCUUGAUAUUUGUAUGUUUCGACCUAUGAUUUUGAUAUAAUUGUGUAAUAUUAUUUGAGGGGUUUUAGUCCUCAUGUUGUGAUGGUCUUAUAUAUAAAUUGUUAUAUUGAGGAUAUGAAAUGAUGAUUCAAAUUGUGAGUAUGUGAUGAAUUGUAGAAUAACAUGUUGUUUUGAGAUUAUAAUAUUGUUAUUGAGAUUGAGUAUAAGUGUAAAGUUGAACAUGUGUUAAUUUGUGAGAUACGUGUAAACAUGUGAUGGUGGAUUGUCACACUAUGAGAUGUGAAAUUGUGAAUGAGUUCUAGUUGUGGAUAAGUGUGUAGUUAACACUUGAUGUGAAAUUACUUGUGUUGUAAGCUAUGAAUUGUACAAUAACCCGACCAGUGUUAUCUUGAGAAAAGCGUUGAUGUGCAGUGUUAAAGAGAAAAUGUAGGUUUCCUACUUAGGAACCAGUGUUAAAUCGUAGCGCAAUUGUGUUGAACGUGUUUAAAACACGAGUGUAAGGUCGUGGGUGUUGUAUAAUUCAUGAGCAGUGUCUGCAUGCAAAAAUUAUUUUAGGGGUUGGACCUGAAUCAGGAGGGAGAGGCCCUGACGGACUCUUCGGAGUGUAGGCCUUGGGGGUCACCGGGUUUGAGUGCUCCUUUAAGCCUAUGUUGAUCUCAUAUGGUUGGAGCAUUCUCGCAAAACAUCGUGACCCUGACUGGUCUCCCUAUGAUCUUACUUAGUGAGAGUGACCUGACAAACCCAUGGUGUGGUGUGUCUUGUUAUGUACUCCUAAGCGCCCCAGGGUGGUUUUUCACUGACAUGGUACCACAUUGCAUAUAGGAUUAAGUCUUAGCAUAACUAUUGCAUAUGCUUGCUAAUUGAUGUGUUAUUAUAUCUUGAUCGAAGUGUGGGAUUCUUGUGUAAUGUGAUUGAUAAUUGAAAAGUGAAUUUUGAAUGACGAAGUGGUGAAGUUACGUGAGCUAUGUUUAAGCAAGUGGUAUCUCAUUUAUAUAAUAUGUAUAUUUAAUUGUCUUGUUUCUCUAUUAGCUAGGAAUGUGAUAACUCACUCCCUGUGUGUUGUUGUGUUUGGAUCUUGUGAUGAUCUUGAACUUGUGUUCGGGGGAGCACAUGAAUAGGUGGAUGACUAUGAAGAACCUCAUGCUAGAGGACACGGAAACACAACGCUCUAACAGGAUGUGACAUUAAGAUAUAGGUUCUAUAUUAAUUGUAUGAAGCUUAGACGACCUUGUUGAGUCGAGAAUACUUUAUUAUUUAUUUGGACAAGUUUAAAUAUGAUGUAGAAGAAAAUAAAUGUGAG
RNAcentral lists this long non-coding RNA (13370 nucleotides) under Glycine max (soybean). RNAcentral's name for it is "long non-coding RNA (GMAX_LNC003688)". The record is from RNAcentral. Lineage: Eukaryota; Viridiplantae; Streptophyta; Magnoliopsida; Fabales; Fabaceae.